RNAcentral lists this transfer RNA (100 nucleotides) under Lacticaseibacillus paracasei. RNAcentral describes it as "Lactobacillus paracasei tRNA-Ile". RNAcentral also lists the same sequence under 2 other names. The record is from RNAcentral. Lineage: Bacteria; Bacillati; Bacillota; Bacilli; Lactobacillales; Lactobacillaceae.
AAAUUUAAUCGUGCAAUUUGUGAACUCAUCCUCGCUAAUGACGGGGAUGAGUUUUUUGCUAUCAUACUCGGCUAUGCGUGCCUACUCACAUUUUGAUUUU